This 253-nucleotide ribosomal RNA is filed under the name Gammaproteobacteria bacterium. Its description in RNAcentral is "partial 16S ribosomal RNA". It matches the Rfam family "Bacterial small subunit ribosomal RNA", at positions 524 to 776 of the family's 1533-position model. The record is from RNAcentral. Lineage: Bacteria; Pseudomonadati; Pseudomonadota; Gammaproteobacteria. RNAcentral also lists the same sequence under 1 other name.
UACGUAGGGGGCGAGCGUUGUCCGGAUUUAUUGGGCGUAAAGCGCGCGCAGGCGGUUCGUUCAGUCCGUUGUGAAAGCUCCCGGCUCAACUGGGAGAGGUCUUCGGAUACUGGCGGACUCGAGGGAGGCAGAGGAAGGUGGAAUUCCGGGUGUAGUGGUGAAAUGCGUAGAGAUCCGGAGGAACACCAGUGGCGAAGGCGGCCUUCUGGGCCUUUCCUGACGCUGAGGCGCGAAAGCGUGGGGAGCGAACCGG